This 497-nucleotide ribosomal RNA is filed under the name uncultured bacterium. RNAcentral's name for it is "partial 16S ribosomal RNA". It matches the Rfam family "Bacterial small subunit ribosomal RNA", at positions 28 to 507 of the family's 1533-position model. The record is from RNAcentral.
GAUGAACGCUGGCGGCGUGCCUAAUACAUGCAAGUCGAGCGAACAGACGAGGAGCUUGCUCCUCUGACGUUAGCGGCGGACGGGUGAUUAACACGUGGAUAACCUACCUAUAAGACUGGGAUAACUUCGGGAAACCGGAGCUAAUACCGGAUAAUAUAUUGAACCGCAUGGUUCAAUAGUGAAAGACGGUUUUGCUGUCACUUAUAGAUGGAUCCGCGCCGCAUUAGCUAGUUGGUAAGGUAACGGCUUACCAAGGCAACGAUGCGUAGCCGACCUGAGAGGGUGAUCGGCCACACUGGAACUGAGACACGGUCCAGACUCCUACGGGAGGCAGCAGUAGGGAAUCUUCCGCAAUGGGCGAAAGCCUGACGGAGCAACGCCGCGUGAGUGAUGAAGGUCUUCGGAUCGUAAAACUCUGUUAUUAGGGAAGAACAAAUGUGUAAGUAACUAUGCACGUCUUGACGGUACCUAAUCAGAAAGCAACGGCUAACUACGUG